UCCUUGCAUUCGGGACCAAAGAGGCCAUC
RNAcentral lists this non-coding RNA (29 nucleotides) under Rattus norvegicus (Norway rat). Lineage: Eukaryota; Metazoa; Chordata; Mammalia; Rodentia; Muridae. The record is from RNAcentral.